This is a small nucleolar RNA of Nycticebus coucang (slow loris), 102 nucleotides long. RefSeq annotates it as small nucleolar RNA U13. The record is from RefSeq and is a predicted model, not a curated record. The transcript has a single exon. NCBI's taxonomy places the organism in Eukaryota, Metazoa, Chordata, Mammalia, Primates, Lorisidae.
AUCUUUUUGAAGUUCAUAAGCCUGAUAAUUGGUUUCCAUGCAUUUUUGUGAGUUGUGCUUCCCUUAAAUCUUGUUACAAUGUUGGCACAUUACCAUCUGAUG